GCGAAGAACCUUACCUACUCUUGACAUCCAGAGAAUCCUACGGAGACGUGGGAGUGCCUUCGGGAACUCUGAGACAGGUGCUGCAUGGCUGUCGUCAGCUCGUGUUGUGAAAUGUUGGGUUAAGUCCCGCAACGAGCGCAACCCUUAUCCUUGUUUGCCAGCACUUCGGGUGGGAACUCCAGGGAGACUGCCGGUGAUAAACCGGAGGAAGGUGGGGACGACGUCAAGUCAUCAUGGCCCUUACGAGUAGGGCUACACACGUGCUACAAUGGCGCAUACAGAGGGCGGCCAACUUGCGAAAGUGAGCGAAUCCCAAAAARUGMGUCGUAGUCCGGAUUGGAGUCUGCAACUCGACUCCAUGAAGUCGGAAUCGCUAG
RNAcentral lists this ribosomal RNA (377 nucleotides) under Vibrio sp. RNAcentral describes it as "bacterial SSU rRNA". It matches the Rfam family "Bacterial small subunit ribosomal RNA", at positions 961 to 1338 of the family's 1533-position model. Lineage: Bacteria; Pseudomonadati; Pseudomonadota; Gammaproteobacteria; Vibrionales; Vibrionaceae. The record is from RNAcentral.